This 63-nucleotide transfer RNA is filed under the name Glycera tridactyla. Its description in RNAcentral is "tRNA-Asn". The record is from RNAcentral. Lineage: Eukaryota; Metazoa; Annelida; Polychaeta; Phyllodocida; Glyceridae.
UAAACGAAAGCCAAUUAGGCACCUAUCUGUUAAGUAGGCCCCCGUUAAAUAUAACUCGUUUAA